RNAcentral lists this ribosomal RNA (498 nucleotides) under uncultured bacterium. RNAcentral's name for it is "partial 16S ribosomal RNA". It matches the Rfam family "Bacterial small subunit ribosomal RNA", at positions 28 to 508 of the family's 1533-position model. The record is from RNAcentral.
GAUGAACGCUGGCGGCGUGCCUAAUACAUGCAAGUCGAGCGAACAGACGAGGAGCUUGCUCCUCUGACGUUAGCGGCGGACGGGUGAGUAACACGUGGAUAACCUACCUAUAAGACUGGGAUAACUUCGGGAAACCGGAGCUAAUACCGGAUAAUAUAUUGAACCGCAUGGUUCAAUAGUGAAAGACGGUUUUGCUGUCACUUAUAGAUGGAUCCGCGCCGCAUUAGCUAGUUGGUAAGGUAACGGCUUACCAAGGCAACGAUGCGUAGCCGACCUGAGAGGGUGAUCGGCCACACUGGAACUUGGACACGGUCCAGACUCCUACGGGAGGCAGCAGUAGGGAAUCUUCCGCAAUGGGCGAAAGCUUGACGGAGCAACGCCGCGUGAGUGAUGAAGGGCUUCGGAUCGUAAAACUCUGUUAUUAGGGAAGAACAAAUGUGUAAGUAACUAUGCACGUCUUGACGGUACCUAAUCAGAAAGCCACGGCUAACUACGUGC